AUAAGGGGAGGAAAAGAAA
RNAcentral lists this ribosomal RNA (19 nucleotides) under Naegleria pagei. Its description in RNAcentral is "partial 28S ribosomal RNA". Lineage: Eukaryota; Heterolobosea; Eutetramitea; Acrasida; Naegleriidae. The record is from RNAcentral.